ACACGCCAGUGUCCGCACUCGGACCUAAUAAUAUAUAUUAUUAGGUCCGAGUGCGGACACUGGCGUGU
Saimiriine alphaherpesvirus 1 is the source of this 68-nucleotide microRNA precursor. It matches the Rfam family "mir-H11 microRNA precursor family". NCBI's taxonomy places the organism in Duplodnaviria, Heunggongvirae, Peploviricota, Herviviricetes, Herpesvirales, Orthoherpesviridae. The record is from Rfam.